This is a long non-coding RNA of Pan paniscus (pygmy chimpanzee), 564 nucleotides long. The record is from Ensembl. Lineage: Eukaryota; Metazoa; Chordata; Mammalia; Primates; Hominidae.
CACAGCCAUCCUGGGGUCACACAGUGCAUCACUCACGUGGGUGCAGUAAUGCUGGUGUGAACAAACCUGCUGCGCGGCCGGCAUGUAAGAGUCUAGCACAGACAGCUGUGUACAGUACAUAGUACUUGACAAUGAUCAUCAACGAUUAUGGUCCUGGUUUAUGUAUUUACUACACUGAAAACAAAGAGGGAUCACUGGUGCCUUUACAUGUUGAAUUCCAGAAACCAGCCACUCCAGCCAAGACACACGUGGAGAGUGGACUUUGGCAAUGGCCGUGGCUUUGGCAGAACUCUGACCGUGUCAGGCUCCUUCUUCCCUUGUAGAAAUAAGGCCAGACUGUGCCGAGGCCUCAAUGCCCGCCUGCGGACUGAAGGACCAAAGGCCGCUGUAGGCGAUGAUCAUCCCCAAUCACGGCCCUCGACCGGAGCGCACUUCCCGGCAUCUGGAGCCAUCUGCAUCUGUCUCCUUUGCAGUCUGCCGGUAAUUGGGUCUGAAAUCACACGCGUCCCACUCAGCUACAUUUACAUUUCCUUCUUGCGCUGUUUUUAUAUCCAGAGCUGUUGA